This 253-nucleotide ribosomal RNA is filed under the name uncultured bacterium. RNAcentral's name for it is "partial 16S ribosomal RNA". It matches the Rfam family "Bacterial small subunit ribosomal RNA", at positions 524 to 776 of the family's 1533-position model. The record is from RNAcentral.
UACAGAGGUCUCAAGCGUUGUUCGGAAUCACUGGGCGUAAAGGGUGCGUAGGUGGCGUGGUAAGUCAGAUGUGAAAGCCCGGGGCUCAACCUCGGAAUUGCAUCCGAUACUACCAUGCUAGAGUACUGAAGAGGUGACUAGAAUUCUCGGUGUAGCAGUGAAAUGCGUAGAUAUCAAGUGGAACACCAGUGGCGAAGGCGAGUCUCUGGACAUUUCCUGACGCUGAGGCACGAAAGCCAGGGGAGCAAACGGG